This 252-nucleotide long non-coding RNA is filed under the name Bos taurus (domestic cattle). Its description in RNAcentral is "long non-coding RNA NONBTAT027605". The record is from RNAcentral. Lineage: Eukaryota; Metazoa; Chordata; Mammalia; Artiodactyla; Bovidae.
ACACAGCCUGCCUCUAGACCAGCAGGCUCUGAACAUCCUGGUCUGGCCAGAUGCCACACGGCACCAGCUUCUCACUACCCGUGCUCUCCUGGCUUUCCUCUGAUGCCAGGAGGCCAGUUCUCUUCAUGAGAAUCUUGCCCCUCUGGUGGUGACUGUUUUUGUUGUUUGGGGCUGGUGGGGUGGAGGACAGCUGCUCUGGGAGGUUUGUCCCUGAGAAAGGGGACUUGUCACACAGGUAUGUCACGAGCUUCA